Molecule: ribosomal RNA, 654 nt
Filed under: uncultured Bacilli bacterium
Lineage: Bacteria; Bacillati; Bacillota; Bacilli
Description: bacterial SSU rRNA
Rfam family: Bacterial small subunit ribosomal RNA
Source: RNAcentral
UGCUUGCACCGAGCGGAUGAGUUGCGAACGGGUGAGUAACGCGUAGGUAACCUGCCUCUUAGCGGGGGAUAACUAUUGGAAACGAUAGCUAAUACCGCAUAAAAGUCGACAUCGCAUGAUGUUGACUUGAAAGGUGCAAUUGCAUCACUAAGAGAUGGACCUGCGUUGUAUUAGCUAGUUGGUGAGGUAACGGCUCACCAAGGCGACGAUACAUAGCCGACCUGAGAGGGUGAUCGGCCACACUGGGACUGAGACACGGCCCAGACUCCUACGGGAGGCAGCAGUAGGGAAUCUUCGGCAAUGGGGGCAACCCUGACCGAGCAACGCCGCGUGAGUGAAGAAGGUUUUCGGAUCGUAAAGCUCUGUUGUAAGAGAAGAACGAGUGUGAGAGUGGAAAGUUCACACUGUGACGGUAACUUACCAGAAAGGGACGGCUAACUACGUGCCAGCAGCCGCGGUAAUACGUAGGUCCCGAGCGUUAUCCGGAUUUAUUGGGCGUAAGGCGAGCGCAGGCGGUUAGAUAAGUCUGAAGUUAAAGGCUGUGGCUUAACCAUAGUACGCUUUGGAAACUGUUUAACUUGAGUGCAGAAGGGGAGAGUGGAAUUCCAUGUGUAGCGGUGAAAUGCGUAGAUAUAUGGAGGAACACCGGUGGCG